AAAGACCGGUGGGCGGGGCUUGCCACCGACAUCUCCGAUGAUCAGCAGGAUAUCUCCAGAGGCAAGGGGAUGGUGGACUCCCUCUUCCAGGCUCCGAUGGGGGAUGGGACUCAUGUUCCCAUCAUGAACUCAUAUGAAUACAUCAGCAAGGGUUUGAGGCAGUACAACUUUGACAAUACCAAAGAUGGGUUUUACAUAGCUCCGGCUUUCAUGGAUAAGCUUGUUGUUCAUAUCACCAAGAACUACAUGACAUUGCCUAAUAUCAAGGUUCCUCUUAUUUUGGGUAUCUGGGGAGGGAAAGGACAAGGGAAAUCUUUCCAGUGUGAGCUUGUGUUUGCCAAGAUG
Molecule: unclassified non-coding RNA, 345 nt
Filed under: Hevea brasiliensis (rubber tree)
Lineage: Eukaryota; Viridiplantae; Streptophyta; Magnoliopsida; Malpighiales; Euphorbiaceae
Source: RNAcentral